CACAUGCAAGUCGAACGGUAGCAGAUCUAGCUUGCUAGAUGCUGACGAGUGGCGGACGGGUGAGUAACGCGUGGGAAUUUACCUUUUAGUGGGGGAUAACUUUAGGAAACUGAAGCUAAUACCGCAUAAGACCUGAGGGUUAAAGAGGGCCUCUAUAUAUAAGCUCUUGCUAGGAGAUGAGCCCGCGUUGGAUUAGCUAGUUGGUAGGGUAAAGGCUUACCAAGGCGACGAUCCAUAGCUGGUUUGAGAGAAUGGCCAGCCACACUGGGACUGAGACACGGCCCAGACUCCUACGGGAGGCAGCAGUGGGGAAUAUUGGACAAUGGGGGAAACCCUGAUCCAGCAAUGCCACGUGUGUGAAGAAGGCCUUAGGGUUGUAAAGCACUUUCAGCGGGGAGGAAGGUAAGCUAAUUAAUACUU
Molecule: ribosomal RNA, 420 nt
Filed under: Piscirickettsia salmonis
Lineage: Bacteria; Pseudomonadati; Pseudomonadota; Gammaproteobacteria; Thiotrichales; Piscirickettsiaceae
Description: bacterial SSU rRNA
Rfam family: Bacterial small subunit ribosomal RNA
Source: RNAcentral